This 534-nucleotide ribosomal RNA is filed under the name Triticum aestivum (bread wheat). RNAcentral describes it as "partial small subunit ribosomal RNA". Lineage: Eukaryota; Viridiplantae; Streptophyta; Magnoliopsida; Poales; Poaceae. The record is from RNAcentral.
AUGGGGACUCAUUCAUUUAUCACACGGUUUCUGGCAGAUUUGAGUAUUGCUUCCAUGUCACAUGAAAUAACGAAGCCCAGAGAAGCCCCAGACCGGGCGCCAGUUUGGAUACCAACACCGGCGGGUCAUCACAAGGUAAAUGUCGAUGCUGCUAUUUGUAAACACCCUCCUGUGGGGGCUGCUAGUGCGGUUUGUCGGGAUCAAUCAGGAGCAUAUGCUUGUUUAGCAGCGAUGGUAUUCCAUGGUAUGACUGAUCCGAACAUACUGGAAGCUCUGGCAUGCCGUGAGGCUAUUGCAUUAGCCAGGGAUCUUUCACUUACUCAUUUGAGGGUGGCUUCUAAUUGCCUUUCGGAGAUCAUCGACUCGAGCAGGGAGUUUCAGUCUUGUUCUUUCACCCAUGAGAGACGUCUUUCUAACAAGGAGGCUCAUGGCUUAGCUCGACAUGCUUUACAUUUAGGGGAGGGUAGCCAUGUAUGGCUGUUACACCCUUAUGAUACUUCUAUUAUUCCUGUAAUUCGCUCUAUUGAUCAAUAA